This 484-nucleotide ribosomal RNA is filed under the name uncultured bacterium. RNAcentral describes it as "partial 16S ribosomal RNA". It matches the Rfam family "Bacterial small subunit ribosomal RNA", at positions 30 to 507 of the family's 1533-position model. The record is from RNAcentral.
AUUGAACGCUGGCGGCAGGCCUAACACAUGCAAGUCGAGCGGAUGAAUGGAGCUUGCUCCUGGACUCAGCGGCGGACGGGUGAGUAAUGCCUAGGAAUCUGCCUUGUCGUGGGGGAUAACGUCCGGAAACGGGCGCUAAUACCGCAUACGUCCUGAGAGAGCAAGUGGGGGAUCUUCGGAUCUCACGCUAUCAGAUGAGCCUAGGUCGGAUUAGCUAGUUGGUGGGGUAAAGGCCUACCAAGGCGACGAUCCGUAACUGGUCUGAGAGGAUGAUCAGUCACACUGGAACUGAGACACGGUCCAGACUCCUACGGGAGGCAGCAGUGGGGAAUAUUGGACAAUGGGCGAAAGCCUGAUCCAGCCAUGCCGCGUGUGUGAAGAAGGUCUUCGGAUUGUAAAGCACUUUAAGUUGGGAGGAAGGGCAGUAAGUUAAUACCUUGCUGUUUUGACGUUACCAACAGAAUAAGCACCGGCUAACUUCGUG